UAAGAAUAGAGAGCUUGAUUGAAUA
Molecule: non-coding RNA, 25 nt
Filed under: Cricetulus griseus (Chinese hamster)
Lineage: Eukaryota; Metazoa; Chordata; Mammalia; Rodentia; Cricetidae
Source: RNAcentral